Molecule: ribosomal RNA, 495 nt
Filed under: uncultured bacterium
Lineage: Bacteria
Description: partial 16S ribosomal RNA
Rfam family: Bacterial small subunit ribosomal RNA
Source: RNAcentral
GACGAACGCUGGCGGCGUGCCUAAUACAUGCAAGUAGAACGCUGAAGGAGUAGCUUGCUUCUCUGGAUGAGUUGCGAACGGGUGAGUAACGCGUAGGUAACCUGCCUGGUAGCGGGGGAUAACUAUUGGAAACGAUAGCUAAUACCGCAUAAUAGCAGUUGUUGCAUGACAACUGUUUGAAAGGUGCAAUUGCACCACUACCAGAUGGACCUUCGUUGUAUUAGCUAGUUGGUGGGGUAACGGCUCACCAAGGCGACGAUCCAUAACCGACCUGAGAGGGGGAUCGGCCACACUGGGACUGAGACACGGCCCAGACUCCUACGGGAGGCAGCAGUAGGGAAUCUUCGGCAAUGGACGGAAGUCUGACCGAGCAACGCCGCGUGAGUGAAGAAGGUUUUCGGAUCGUAAAGCUCUGUUGUAAGAGAAGAACGAGGGUGAGAGUGGAAAGUUCACACUGUGACGGUAUCUUACCAGAAAGGGACGGCUAACUACGUG